This 931-nucleotide ribosomal RNA is filed under the name Sciaridae sp. Scia_H2. RNAcentral's name for it is "SSU rRNA". It matches the Rfam family "Eukaryotic small subunit ribosomal RNA", at positions 21 to 863 of the family's 1831-position model. The record is from RNAcentral. Lineage: Eukaryota; Metazoa; Arthropoda; Insecta; Diptera; Sciaridae.
AGUUAUAUGCUUGUCUCAAAGAUUAAGCCAUGCAUGUCUAAGUACAAACGAAAAUAAAGUGAAACCGCAAAAGGCUCAUUAUAUCAGUUAUGGUUUCUUAGAUCGUAUCCACAAUUACUUGGAUAACUGUGGUAAUUCUAGAGCUAAUACAUGCAUUUAAAGAGAAACCGGUAAAAUGGGUUCUCUGCUUUUAUUAGAUUUAAACCAAUGGGGAGCGUUUCGGCGUUCUUACAUUUAAACUGGUUGAACUCUGGAUAAUUUGUUGAUCGCAUGGUCUCGUACCGGCGACGGAUCUUUCAAAUGUCUGCCCUAUCAACUAUUGAAGGUAAUGUCUUGGAUUACCUUGGUUGCAACGGGUAACGGGGAAUCAGGGUUCGAUUCCGGAGAGGGAGCCUGAGAAACGGCUACCACAUCUAAGGAAGGCAGCAGGCGCGUAAAUUACCCACUCCCAGCACGGGGAGGUAGUGACGAAAAAUAACAAUACAAGACUCACAUCCGAGGCCUUGUAAUUGGAAUGAGUACACUUUAAAUCCUUUAACAAGGAUCAAUUGGAGGGCAAGUCUGGUGCCAGCAGCCGCGGUAAUUCCAGCUCCAAUAGCGUAUAUUAAAGUUGUUGCGGUUAAAACGUUCGUAGUUGAACUUGUGUUCCGCACGGGCAGUACCAAACAACUGGUAAAACAGUAGUGGUACCUUGUCUUACUUCCUGUCUCCGGAUUAGGAAAUGUGCGUGGACGUAUUAUCGGCGUGUUCGCUCUAGCAGCGUUCACAUCAGCCCAUCGCAGUGCUCUUAAACAAGUGUUGCUGUGGGCCGAUACAAAUUACUUUGAACAAAUUAGAGUGCUUAAAGCAGGCUUGUAAUGCCUGAAUAUUUUGUGCAUGGAAUAAUGAAAUAGGACAUCUGUUCUACUUUCAUUGGUUUUUUAGACCAAGA